UCAACAGCGGUCACCCUAUUGGUGUCAUACUUGCUUCUUGCGAUCUGCCUAAGUGUUCAGAAAAAGUCAAUGGCUUUUUAGCAUCUUCUGCCAUUUUGGACAACACCUAUAACGAGUACAUCAUAUUCAGUCGACUUGGUCCAGUCUUCAGCUCUGAACCCUCCGUGAAAGACGAGGUGAAGAUUAUGUCUAAUCUGGCAGAUGCCCAACUUAUCAUUAACAGGGAGAUUUACAUGACUGUUUAUGACGGCCGUUACGUCACUAUUAGCGUAGACGGGGACAAGCCACUGUACGUGGAAUCUUCGCGACCUGUGAUGUGCUACUACAUCAGUAAAAGCACAGACUGUUCGUGGGCUAUCUCAGCGUCGCUGGUGCUACCCUCUGAUUCAUUCAUCUUCAGCUACUC
Physella acuta is the source of this 406-nucleotide long non-coding RNA. RefSeq lists it as uncharacterized. Lineage: Eukaryota; Metazoa; Mollusca; Gastropoda; Physidae. The record is from RefSeq and is a predicted model, not a curated record.